This 254-nucleotide ribosomal RNA is filed under the name uncultured bacterium. RNAcentral describes it as "partial 16S ribosomal RNA". It matches the Rfam family "Bacterial small subunit ribosomal RNA", at positions 524 to 776 of the family's 1533-position model. The record is from RNAcentral.
UACGGGGGGAGCAAGCGUUGUUCGGAUUUACUGGGCGUAAAGGGCGCGUAGGCGGUCAGCACAAGUCAGUUGUGAAAUCUCCGAGCUUAACUCGGAAAGGUCAACUGAUACUGUGCGACUAGAGUGCGGAAGGGGCAACUGGAAUUCUUGGUGCAGCGGUGAAAUGCGUAGAUAUCAAGAGGAACACCUGCGGCGAAGGCGGGUUGCUGGGCCGACACUGACGCUGAGGCGCGAAAGCUAGGGGAGCGAACGGG